Long non-coding RNA from Sapajus apella (tufted capuchin), 561 nucleotides. RefSeq lists it as uncharacterized. Lineage: Eukaryota; Metazoa; Chordata; Mammalia; Primates; Cebidae. The transcript is spliced from 2 exons. The record is from RefSeq and is a predicted model, not a curated record.
CCCCGCAGGACAGGGCCGGGCGGGGCUGUGAGUUGCGGAAGGCCGGGUGGAAGCAGGCCAUAGUUUCACGAGUCAGAAGGACACGCUCAGCAAAGGGUCAGCAGCAGCAGCGACAGCGGUGGCAGCCGGGAAGCCCCUGGCAGCGCUGGAAACUCGAGGGUUUGGAGCACGGAGACCACUUCUUCAGGGCCCACUCGUAGACCACAGAGUCAUCUUCCAGGACGUUGUUGUCGUCGACGUUGAGCGAGUCCUCGUGGAUCAUGUAUUUGUACGUCAGUGAGAUCCGUGUGUCUCCCGCCGGGAUGACCUGUCACCAGCCCAAGAUGCCGAGAUGUCCUGGCCUGCCCUGCCCUCCAUGCUUCCUCCCCAGCCAGCUCAGGAAAGGCAGCUGAGGCAGACUCCAGAGGAGUCUCAUCAUUCAUGGCAGUUACAUUCCACGAAGUCACCUCGAGCACCAAAUUCAUGAAUACGCAACCAUUACCCCAGGGGGCACAGGGUUAGGUUCCUGUGAGCCUCUGUCUCAACAUUUUUGUUACCUGAUCAAUAUAUAACCUCGUUUUA